AAACACCGGACGGGAGAGUCCCCAUCGCAUCUGACGAUGGGGCGCCGAAGGGGCAAACUCCCCGGAACCUCUCAGGCGCCAGGACCGCCCGGAUCAG
This 97-nucleotide non-coding RNA is filed under the name Luteipulveratus mongoliensis. RNAcentral describes it as "Glycine sequence". It matches the Rfam family "Glycine riboswitch aptamer". From Rfam's summary of the family: This family represents the bacterial glycine riboswitch. Glycine riboswitches usually consist of two metabolite-binding aptamers domains with similar structures in tandem. The aptamers cooperatively bind glycine to regulate the expression of downstream genes. Lineage: Bacteria; Bacillati; Actinomycetota; Actinomycetes; Micrococcales; Dermacoccaceae. The record is from Rfam by way of RNAcentral.